RNAcentral lists this ribosomal RNA (520 nucleotides) under uncultured Glomus. Its description in RNAcentral is "SSU rRNA". It matches the Rfam family "Eukaryotic small subunit ribosomal RNA", at positions 569 to 1091 of the family's 1831-position model. The record is from RNAcentral. Lineage: Eukaryota; Fungi; Glomeromycota; Glomeromycetes; Glomerales; Glomeraceae.
AGCAGCCGCGGUAAUUCCAGCUCCAAUAGCGUAUAUUAAAGUUGUUGCAGUUAAAAAGCUUGUAGUUGAAUUUCGGGGUCAGUAGGUUGGUCGUGCCACUGGUAUGCACUGGUCUCACUGAUUCCUCCCUCUUGUAGAACCGUAAUGCCAUCAAUUUGGUGUUGCGGGGAAACAGGACUGUUACUUUGAAAAAAUUAGAGUGUUUAAAGCAGGCUAACGCUUGAAUACAUUAGCAUGGAAUAAUGAAAUAGGACGUUCGAUCCUAUUUUGUUGGUUUCUAGGAUUGACGUAAUGAUUAAUAGGGAUAGUUGGGGGCAUUAGUAUUCAAUUGUCAGAGGUGAAAUUCUUGGAUUUAUUGAAGACUGACUACUGCGAAAGCAUUUGCCAAGGAUGUUUUCAUUAAUCAAGAACGAAAGUUAGGGGAUCGAAGACGAUCAGAUACCGUCGUAGUCUUAACCAUAAACUAUGCCGACUAGGGAUCGGAUGAUGUUAAUUUUUAAUGACUCAUUCGGCGCCUUAA